AGAGUUUGAUCCUGGCUCAGAAUGAACGUUGGCGGCGUGGAUUAGGCAUGCAAGUCGAACGGGCCGCAAGGCCAGUGGCGCAAGGGUGAGUAAGGCGACGGUAACCAACCCCAUGAAUGGGCAUAGCCGCGGGAAACUGCGGGUAAUUCCCAGCGACGUCGCGAGGAGGCAUCUCCUUGGCCGACCAAAGCUCCGGCGUCGUGGGACGGGCCGUUGUGGUAUUAGCUUGUUGGCGGGGUGACGGCCCACCAAGGCUACGAUGCCUACCGGGCGUGCGAGCGUGGCCCGGCACACUGGGACUGAGACACUGCCCAGACUCCUACGGGAGGCUGCAGUCGAGAAUCUUCGGCAAUGGGCGCAAGCCUGACCGAGCGACGCCGCGUGGAGGAUGAAGGCCUUCGGGUUGUAAACUCCUGUCGAGGGGGAAAAAGGUCCGCAAG
RNAcentral lists this ribosomal RNA (440 nucleotides) under uncultured bacterium. RNAcentral's name for it is "bacterial SSU rRNA". It matches the Rfam family "Bacterial small subunit ribosomal RNA", at positions 8 to 459 of the family's 1533-position model. The record is from RNAcentral.